CUACGAAACGUGAGAGAGAAACUGGUUCGCUGCAUAACGCAAAGAAGAGUAUCUUUCAAAAGCGAUGGGCUGCGUGGGAGCGCUCCCAGCAAAAUCAACCGCAGCUUUCGACUUCAGAUACGCAAGCGCGUCCAGUUAGGUCAGUUCUGACCGAAUAAGUAGCUGGGACCGAUCAAUUGGAACCGAUGGGUACAAAAUGUCCCUUCGCCCAGCCCGGUUAUGACCGAACCAGUAGCUCGAACCGAUCAACCGAAACCGAUAAGUAUGUUGUAUGCUUUGAUUUAGUAAUGAGGCUGUGCUAAUUAUUUUUUACAAUUAAAGAUACCCGUUCACCAGUUUCGAGUGGUCCAGAGAGUGAUGGGGAGACGUAGUCGGCAUACAGCAGCGCUGACGAAACCGAUGUGCUUGACGACGGUAUCGUGCAGGACGAGGGUUUGGAGCCGCUAAUUCCCUACGCCGGAGUUUCGAUGGAGGACGGUCUUGGGCAUUC
Molecule: long non-coding RNA, 490 nt
Organism: Anopheles gambiae (African malaria mosquito)
Lineage: Eukaryota; Metazoa; Arthropoda; Insecta; Diptera; Culicidae
Exons: 3
Source: RefSeq, a predicted model, not a curated record